Molecule: ribosomal RNA, 541 nt
Filed under: Staphylothermus marinus
Lineage: Archaea; Thermoproteati; Thermoproteota; Thermoprotei; Desulfurococcales; Desulfurococcaceae
Description: partial 23S ribosomal RNA
Rfam family: Archaeal large subunit ribosomal RNA
Source: RNAcentral
GACCCCGCGGUUUGCUACAUCGAUGUCGGCUCUUCCCAUCCUGGGGGUGCAGCAGCCCCCAAGGGUGGGGCUGCCCGCCCAUUAAAGGGGAACGUGAGCUGGGUUUAGACCGUCGUGAGACAGAGAGGUUGCUGGGGCUUGGAUCCGAACAAUAUAUAACUGGGUGUCUCCGCGAAUCACGUGGGAUUACGCUGAACACUAGCCCCGGCGCCUCUCCUCAAAAGGUCGGACUCUACCCGCGGGGGGUGCGGGCCGCCUGAGGGGAAAGUCUGGGUUCUCCAAAUAAUAGCUUCUCAGGGGAGACCCAGACCCCUAAGCUGCCCUCAGUACGAGAGGAACGGGGCGGCGCGGCUUCUGGUUUACCGGUUGUUCUGAGGAGCAACGCCGGGCAGCCACGCCGUAGGGGGUAAGCGCUGAAAGCAUCUAAGCGCGAACCCCUCCCCGAAACGAGGCGGCCGUCCGCUACGGGGCCACCCGUAGCGGUUAGGGUCCCCGUAGAAGACGGGGUUGAUGGGGCGGGGGUGUAAGCUCCGAGAGGCUU